CGUGUUUGCCCUCCUCUACUUUCCCACUGUUUCUCUGCUACAGUAUCCUUGUCAUUUCCAACAACAAUGCUCAGACUCAACCCAACAGGUUCUGGGUUUGCCAUUAAAAAAAAUCUGUAUCAGACUCCUCCCAGAGAGAAUAACAGGUGAUCUUGUCCCAAGGAACUCAGGGCUCUUUUCUAAUUCUCUGCUUAACUUUCUGGAGAGGUUCAGCCUCCACCUUUUGCUGACCCAUAUAACCUGCUUGUCCAGCUGGCUUCAGGCAGAACCCUCCUAACCUAGUCCUGGUGGCGGGCAUCUUCUGUUCCAGCCCCUUCAGGUAGAUGGAGAAAAGGACAAACCAUCUCCAUCAGACCUGCACCAUGAAAUGUGCGGAUACCCAAGUUAUAGCCAAGCAAGCUCAGGAUUCAGCCGUGUGUCAUGCAAACGCACCUGCAGAAGAAGUCCCUCUGAUGAUGUAUGGCCUCCAGCAGCCCAGCGCUCGGUGCAGAUCCGAGAGGAAGUUCCUAUGCUGGUGGGCAGCAGAGGAUGAAGACUCACCCCAUGGAGCCUCACCCUGACACAGGAGCAGAGGAAAUCAUACUGGCCAGCCAUGAACCAUCCCAGGGAAAACCUCCUCUCAGGUAGAGAAAAGCAUUCCAAAGGAGGGAGAUAACAGCUGCAGCUUCCUUUCAAAGCCACUCCCUUCCCUCUUUCUCCAGGACAAGCAUGGAUGUGGGGUAAUUAAUUUCUUUGGAUUUCCC
This 743-nucleotide long non-coding RNA is filed under the name Calidris pugnax (ruff). RNAcentral's name for it is "lncRNA (ENSCPUG00000007096.1)". The record is from RNAcentral. Lineage: Eukaryota; Metazoa; Chordata; Aves; Charadriiformes; Scolopacidae.